RNAcentral lists this ribosomal RNA (492 nucleotides) under uncultured bacterium. RNAcentral describes it as "partial 16S ribosomal RNA". It matches the Rfam family "Bacterial small subunit ribosomal RNA", at positions 29 to 507 of the family's 1533-position model. The record is from RNAcentral.
AGUGAACGCUGGCGGUAGGCCUAACACAUGCAAGUCGAACGGCAGCACAGUAAGAGCUUGCUCUUACGGGUGGCGAGUGGCGGACGGGUGAGGAAUACAUCGGAAUCUACCUUUUCGUGGGGGAUAACGUAGGGAAACUUACGCUAAUACCGCAUACGACCUACGGGUGAAAGCAGGGGAUCUUCGGACCUUGCGCGAUUGAAUGAGCCGAUGUCGGAUUAGCUAGUUGGCGGGGUAAAGGCCCACCAAGGCGACGAUCCGUAGCUGGUCUGAGAGGAUGAUCAGCCACACUGGAACUGAGACACGGUCCAGACUCCUACGGGAGGCGGCAGUGGGGAAUAUUGGACAAUGGGCGCAAGCCUGAUCCAGCCAUACCGCGUGGGUGAAGAAGGCCUUCGGGUUGUAAAGCCCUUUUGUUGGGAAAGAAAAGCAGCAGGUUAAUACCCCGCUGUUCUGACGGUACCCAAAGAAUAAGCACCGGCUAACUUCGUG